GUAGGUGGCAAGCGUUGUCCGGAUUUACUGGGCGUAAAGAGCGCGCAGGCGGUCGAAUAAGUCGAAUGUGACAGCCCCCGGCUCAACUGGGGAGGGUCAUUCGAUACUGCUCGACUUGAAGGCAGGAGAGGGUAGUGGAAUUCCCGGUGUAGUGGUGAAAUGCGUAGAUAUCGGGAGGAACACCAGUGGCGAAGGGGACUACCUGGCCUGUUCUUGACGCUGAGGUGCGAAAGCUGGGGCAGCAAACGGGAUUAGAUACCCCGGUAGUCCCAGCCGUAAACGAUGGACACUAGGUGUUGGUGGUAUCAACCCCGCCAGUGCCGUAGCUAACGCAUUAAGUGUCCCGCCUGGGGAGUACGGCCGCAAGGCUA
RNAcentral lists this ribosomal RNA (371 nucleotides) under uncultured bacterium. Its description in RNAcentral is "bacterial SSU rRNA". It matches the Rfam family "Bacterial small subunit ribosomal RNA", at positions 527 to 896 of the family's 1533-position model. The record is from RNAcentral.